Long non-coding RNA from Osmerus eperlanus (European smelt), 523 nucleotides. RefSeq lists it as uncharacterized. The transcript has 3 exons. The record is from RefSeq and is a predicted model, not a curated record. Lineage: Eukaryota; Metazoa; Chordata; Actinopteri; Osmeriformes; Osmeridae.
CUCAAGUGGAGGUCCUAGAUGAUCAGGAAACUGUGUCUGCCUGCUCAGAGAGCAUUUUGGGGCAGGAAGAGGAACUUCUUCCUCCUCCUGAGCCUAGGGCCUCCACUUCAAGGCCAAGACAAAGACACGAGGUAUAACCAAUGAACCUUGAAACACAGUAGUCAAAUGGACGCCUUCAACUUUCUCCAAGUGUGCCUUGCAAAGAGACAAUGUUCUUUAUUUGUUUCAGGUUGGAGCAGACAAUGUGAGGGCCCUGUAUAAAAGAACCCUGGAGCUCGAUAUAGAAGUAUAAGAGGCUUUUAAUUAAAAAAACAAGGCUGGAGAUAGAAAAACUGGAAUAUGAGAAGAGAUAGUACAUGACUGAAUAAAUGACACUAAACUUAGUUACACUGACAUUAUUUUUCUGUGUUCCUAGGGGAAGGGAGAACACAUGAGAAUAUAUUUGUUAAACUUUUUUCUACGUUUCGGUCUUUUUAUACCUUUUUGUAGCUUUUUUGUUGUGCAUUUUGAGUCUUUUGUGGGG